UACGAAGGGUGCAAGCGUUAAUCGGAAUUACUGGGCGUAAAGCGUGCGUAGGCGGUUGGCUAAGUCAGAUGUGAAAGCCCUGGGCUCAACCUGGGAAUGGCAUUUGAAACUGGCCAGCUAGAGUGUGAUAGAGGAUGGCGGAAUUCCCGGUGUAGCGGUGAAAUGCGUAGAGAUCGGGAGGAACAUCCGUGGCGAAGGCGGCCAUCUGGAUCAACACUGACGCUGAGGCACGAAAGCGUGGGGAGCAAACAGG
RNAcentral lists this ribosomal RNA (253 nucleotides) under uncultured bacterium. RNAcentral's name for it is "partial 16S ribosomal RNA". It matches the Rfam family "Bacterial small subunit ribosomal RNA", at positions 524 to 776 of the family's 1533-position model. The record is from RNAcentral.